AUCUUUUCCUCCGUAGAUUCCUUUUUUAUUGCCUAAUUAUUUUUGGUGCUUUUUCCUGAAAUUUCUCUCCAUUUUCAAGAGCAGCCAACAGCUCUACCCUAUGCCAAGAGAAGUGAAAUGCUUAUACUCAGCUCUUCCACAUCAAACUUCUGCCAACACCUCUCAUGGCAUAUCUUCACUAUGACAAAAACAAUGAGGGAAUAAAUUCAUCUUCAAUUUGUUAUGUCUUCUCUGUUUCUCCUGGCUUUGAAUAUUCCAUCUGGUUACCCUAGAAGCGGGAUUUUUUUUUCCUCUGUGCCAUCACCAAAGUUGCAAACCAAAUGACUGCCUGUCAGCAGCUUGUUCCACCUGCCAAAUUGUGGAAUAUACUUGCUUUGCUAACUGAAAAAAUACUGAUGAGAAAAGACCUGGAUUCAGUGACCUAAGCCAAAAAUAGCUACAGGCAAAAAAAAUCAAUCAUCUGAGAUUCUCAGUAGGCAGCAAAGAACUCCAAAAUAGCUUUUCAUCUCGUGAACUUUCUCUGAAAGAUUAGCUCAUGAUUCUAUAGCAUCAGUUCCUGAAAUUCAUGUGCUAGAGAUACAAUUCUUGUAUGCCUUUUCUAAGAAGUUUCUCUUGAAACAGUAGAUAGAUGGAGGAUAUAGCUUUUGCAGUAUAAUAAGAAAAUGAGGUCUCGGAUUUUUAACAGUUUGAAAACUGGAUUAUACACAUACAUACACACAUAUACACACACAUAUGUAUCUAUAUAUAUCACAAUACUUUUUGUGAUUUUGGUAAAUAGGUAUCCCAGAACUCUGAUCCCUGAGAAGGGAAACAAAGUGAGAACAAAAAUCACUUUUGUUUUCUGCUAGAGGAACCUGGGGUGGAGAUCCUGAAAUGAGUUAAAUGAUCCAUUUCAGGAGACAGAGAACACAAGUUCAGAGAAGAGGUAAGGUAGCUGGACUUAGCAGAACGGAAUGAAAGAGAGGCGAGAGCUAUGUAGAAGUCAUUGAGGCUAAGGAGAGAUAGUUCGACAGUAGUAAGCAGAAAAUCUCCCAUUUCUUAAACAGGGUGGGGAAAUGUUGAAGUUCCGUUCAGCCAGAAUCCUCAUUUACCACGUAGAACACUCCACAGACACAUCAGAGAGGUCAUAUUUUAGGAUAGCUACAUAGCCCAAUAUAAAGACUGCUUCCAUCUAGACUUCCAUAACAAAGCUCUUAAAGAAGCUAUUCAAAGGGGCCUGAACUGUGGUGUAAUAGGCUAAGCUUCCACCUGUGGUGCUGACAUCCUAUAUGGGCUCCGGUUCCUAUCCUGGCUGCUCCACUUCUGAUCUAGCUCUCUGCUGUGGCCUGAGAAAGCAGUAGAAGAUGGCCCAAGUGCUUGGGCCCCUGCAGCCCCUUGGGAGACCCAGAAGAAGCUCCUGGCUCCUGGCUACAGAUUGGCCCAUCUAUAGCCAUUGUGGCCAUUUGGAGAGUGAAACAGUGGAUGAAAGACCUUUCUCUCUCUCUCUCUCUCUCUUUCUCUCUCUUUCUAACUCUGCCUCAUAAGUAAAUAAAAUCUUUAAAAAAAGAAACCAUGCAAGGAUCAAGUUAACCAGCAAGUAAGUAACUACCUCUCCAAAAAAUAUCCAAUACAUUAUUAAAGGCUGAAACAAAAUCCAGAAUUAAAGAAUGUGAAAAUAACCAUGGCUAACAUCUAAUAAAAUAUACUUAAUCAAUAAAAUACUUUAAGACAGCUAUAAUUCAUAAUACUAUAAAGAUGUAAUAGAAAACAUGGGAAAUAUGACAAGAGAAUUUUAAAUUUUAAAUAAAGAACUUGAGGCAGAAACAAACAAUAUAGGCAAUGUUUGUUGGAAGAGAUUAACAGCACAUGAUGUACCUCAAAAGAGAAAAAAAAAUCAAAGAAUUUUUUUUUGACAGGCAGAGUGGACAGUGAGAGAGAGACAGAGAGAAAGGUCUUCCUUUUCCAUUGAUUCACCCCCCAAUGGCCGCUGUGGCCGGCGCACCGCGCUGAUCUGAAACCAGGAGCCAGGUGCUUCCUCCUGGUCUCCCAUGUGAGUGCAGGGCCCAAGCACUUGGGCCAUCCUCCACUGCACUCCCGGGCCACAGCAGAGAGCUGGACUGGAAGAGGGGCAACCAGAACAGAAUCUGGCGCCCCAACCAGGACUAAAACCUGAUGUGCUGGUGCCGCAGGCAGAGGAUUAGCCUAUUGAGCUGCUGCGCAGGCCAAAAUCAAUGAAUUUUAAGAUCUGUGAAGAAACUCUAUCCAGAAUGAAAUUCAGAGGAAAAGUCCAAAAAAAGAGGUCUUAGUACUGGGUUGAAAUCUAUCAACUAAUUUGAAGUGCCAGAAAAAAGGAUAGAAGACAAAAAAAUACUUGAAGAAAAAGUGCUGAAAAAUGUGCACAUUUGAUGAAAUUAUAAAGUCUCAAGAAACUCAAUGAAUUACCAAUAAAUUAGUCCCAAAGAAAACCACACAGAAGUCUAACAAAAUCGAAUUGCUUAAAAUUUAGCCAUUUGACAAAAUUUCUUAAAAGCCAAGACGGAAAAAUGAUACUCCAUACAGAACAAAUGUAAGAAGGACUAAGUCUUAUCUCCUGUCCAGAUAAAGACGGAAGUAAUCUAGAAAACAGUGGAAUGAUGUCACUAAAUUGUUAGAAAAAAACCUCUUCAACCUGAAAAGUCUAUAUUCAAUGAAAUAAUCCUUCAAGAAUGAUAACAAAUUAAACAAUAAAAAGACAAACUGAGAAAAUUGAUCACCAGAGAGUGUAAGACAUUAAGGAAAAUGUUAUAGAUGAAAAUUUUUAUGUAUGUAUAAGGAAAGAGACAAUGCCAGAGGUACUAAAUCAGAAUAUAGAGAUGGGGCAGUAUGCGUUAUGAAGGUUAAGUCAUAGCUUGGGAUGCCUGCAACCCAUAUCAGAGUACUUGGUCCCAGUCCUGGCUACUUGAUUUCCGAUCCAGCUUUCUGCUAAGUUUUGCUUAGGCAAACAGACAGUGGUUCAAGUACUGGGGAUCCUGCCACCCAUGGAGGAGACUUAGAUGGAAUUCUGGGACCCUGGCUAUGAUCUAUCUCAGCCUUGGCUGUUGUAGGCAUUUGGGUAGUGAACCAGUUGAUGAGUAAGCUCAUGACUAGGGAAAUUAUUUAACUACUAGGAUGUAGACUGCAACUGGGCAGGGGAUUUCUCUUUCUCUCUUUCUCUCUUUCUCUCUUUCUCUCUUUCUUUCCCUAGAAGAGUUCCUGGCACACAGCAGGUACCCAGUAAAUGUUGGUUGUUAAAUUCCAUUUAACAAAUCAAGAAAUUGUGGCAAAGAAGAGAUUUUGUGACUUUCAAAGAUUCAUUGUACUGUCAACAUGGCAAGCAAAUGAGAAACCUUAAAGGAGGAAGAGUGCCUUGUAGGACACUAUAUGUUUUCCCUCAGAUUUCUUUCAUAAGAAAUGGAAAUUGUGUUUUUUGUAUUAUUAAGUUAAUCCUUGGAACUGUCACCUUUCUCAUUUUAAAUAGAACUUUUCUUUUAUAACAAAAACAAAGCAGCGAUCAUUUUCCUGUUAUUCAAUACUUCCAUUAGAUGCUGCUGUGUAAAUUGCUCAGAAUGCAAGUACUCAGUGUGCCAGGAUUUUUGUAAGACAAACAAAACAUAAGAAUUUUGAUGUCUUAACAAGCAUGUUGUUUGACCCGUGUUAGAUUCAUCUACUAUAAGCCAUCAGAGCAGUGGGAGGUUAAAUCCUAUUCAAGUAAAUUUCACAAUGUGAAACGCAUGUGCAAUAGUUGCUUGGCAUUUGAAUAGGGAUAAAAUGGAAGGAAUGAAGCCAGCUUAUGUGUGUCAAAUAUUUCUAAUUUUUAAAUAAAAAAUUUAAUCACAACCAGAGAACUUAUUCUGACCAAACGACAUACAGUGUAAUUAUGUAGAGUUACAAGUCUGAUAAAUAGAACAUCUGUUAUUUUAUUUUAAGAUUAUAAACCAUAAUGAUGAUGUAUCUGUUUAGGUUAUUUUUCUUCUUUCUAAUGAGGUGACUCAAUUGAAACCUGACUCACCAAGAAUAAAUUUAAAGAUAUAAAUAUCCUCAACUAUAUUUUAUCAGCCCUUAAUUUACUCAUGUUGCAAAUGAUUUCAUACUUUAUAAAAAAUUUCAAAUAUAGGGGCUGGUGUUGUUGUUCAGUGAGUUUAACUGUCACUUGCAGUACUGUCAUCAUAUAUGGUUGCAAAAUCAAGUCCCAACUGUCCCACUUGCAAUACAGCUCUCUGCUAAUGUGCCUAGGAAAACAGCUGAAGAUUGUCCAAGUACUUGUUGCCCUGCUACCUGCAUGAGAGACCUGGAUAAAAUUCCUGGCUCCUGGUUUCCUCCUGGCUCAGCCCCUCUGUUGUGGCCUUUUGAGGAGUAGAUCAGAAAGGGGAUGAUAUCUCUCUCUCUCUCUCUCUUUCUCUCUCUUUCUCUCUCUUUCUCUAACUCUUUCAAAUAAACAAAUAAAUAUUUUAAAAAUCCAAAUAUACAAAGGUGGGAAGCUAGUUCAUCAAAUCUCCAUUCAGCCAUUGCCAGCCACAGUGAGCAUCACCUAGUUGUCAACAUUAUUUCAUCUCUUAUACUUCUGUCUGUGCUCUCACAGUCCCCAGUAAUCAUUUCAUCUUUUUUUUUUGACAGGCAGAGUUAGACAGAGAGAGAGAGAGAGACAAAGAGAAAGGUCUUCCUUUCCGUUGGUUCACCCCCCAAAUGGCUGCUACGGCCAGCAUGCUGCGCAGAUCUGAAGACAGGAGCCAGUUACUUCCUUCUGGUCUCCCAUGCGGGUGCAGGGCUCAAGCACCUGGGCCAUCCUCCACUGCCUUCCCGGGCCACAGCAGAGAGCUGGACUGGAAGAGGAGUAACCGGGACAGAAUCUGGUGCCCCACCGGGACUAGAACCCUGGGUGCCGGCACCACAGGCGGAGGAUUAGCCUAGUGAGCCACGGUGCCAGCCAUCAUUUCAUCUUUAAGACUUCCAGUGUAUAUGUGGGUAAUUCAAAAAGAUCAUAGAAACUGGAAUUAGAUGUUUAUGUUUUUUAUUUUAAAAAAAAUUAAGGUGAACAAAUUUCAUAUAUUUCUUUUUUUUAAAGAUUUAUUUAUUUACUUGAAAGUGUCAGAGUUUACACACAGAGAGAGAGAGGUCUUCCAUCUGAUGGUUCACUCCCCAAUUGGCCACAGUGGCUGGAGUUGCGCCAAUCCGAAGCCAGGAGCCAGGAGCCAGGAGCCAGGAGCCAGGAGCCAGGAGCUUCCUCUGGGUCUCCCACAUGGGUGCAGGGGCCCAAGGACUUGGGCCAUCCUCUGCUGCCUUCCCAGGCCAGAGCAGAGAGCUGGACUGGAAGUGGAGCAGCUGGAUCUCGAACAGAUACCUACAUGAGAUGCCAGCGCUUCAGGCCAGGGUGUUAACCCGCUGCACCACAGUGCCAGCCCCUCAUAUGUUUCUUAUAUGAAGAUUUUGGAACACAGUGAUAGUUCCCACCCUACACUCCCUCACACCUAGGCGCCUACCCUUCCUCUUCCUCCUUCUCUUAUUCCCUCCCUUAAUUUUUACAAUACAUUACAUUUUAAGUACCCUAUUAGUUACUUCUGAUCAGGGAAAGGAUGUGGUAUCUGUUUUUUGGGGCUGGCUCAUUUCACUAAAUAUAAUGAUUUCCAGUUGCAUCCAUUCUAUCUGUCCAAGUCCCCCAUUACUAUUGUAUUGGUGUCUAUGUCUCCGUUUAGAUGCAUUAACAUUUUUUUUUUUUUUACAGGCAGAGUGGACAGUGAGAGAGAGAGAGACAAAGAGAAAGGUCUUCCUUUUGCCGUUGGUUCACCCUCCAAUGGCCGCCGUCUCCCAUGGGGUGCAGGGCCCAAGCACUUGGGCCAUCCUCCACUGCACUCCCUGGCCACAGCAGAGAGCUGGCCUGGAAGAAGGGCAACCGGGACAGAAUCCGGUACCCCGACUGGGACUAGAACCCGGUGUGCCGGCGCCGCAAGGCGGAGGAUUAGCCUAGUGAGCCGCGGCGCCGGCCAACAUUUCUUUUAAAUAUCCAGGCCUCCUAUAAUUGUUGCAUAUACAUUUAUUAUAGUCACAUCUUCCUGUUAAUCAUUACAGAGUGUCCUUCUUUGUCUCUUUAACCGUUUUUAUGUUAAAUUCUAAUUUGUCUGGUAGUAGGAUGACAACACUUCCCUUUUUUGAUUUCUGUUAACCUGAAAUAUCUUUUUCCUUCCUUUCCCUUACAGUCUGCAUAUAUCUUUGUUGGUGAGAUGUGUUUCUUGUAGGCAGCAUUCAACCAGUCUGUAUCUUUUAACUGGAUAUUUGAAGCCAUUUUUAUUCAAGGUUUUCUAUGUCUGACCACUGUUUAUGGGUGGGGCAAAAGUCCAGUGUCAUAUAAAGAUGAAGUUGAGACUUCACACAAAGGUGUGAGCUAUAUUUCCCAGACUCCUCUCACCACGUGGUCUCAGUGAGCAUCUGUGAGUAGACUUGAACUUCAACUUGCUUCUAGGUGAACUUCAGAAUUUUCCACAUUGGUCUUGCAGACUGAGUUGGCUGUAGGAAACUUCCAGGAGAUUCUUGAGAUUCACAAUAGUUUCAUGUGAACUCAGAUAUCCCCACCCUUUGGGAGCACAAUGAACAAAUUUGUGGGAGGAGGUUCCCAGAGAUUUACCAGAUUAUCAUAAAUGUUUGUUUCCUCUGUUGGGAACCAUCACAUUGCUGCUGCAGGAUGCGAUAGUUCAUAGCUUCUCUUGAUCUUGUAUCUCAGCUCUUCCAACUUUAGGUAAAACUCUAAAUCCCGUGUUAAAACCCUCACUGUCUGCUAAAGUGUGGUGGGUACAUAAGGUCACACAACUGAGCAGAAUUAGAAACUGUUCCAGAAUUGCAGUCAGAGAAGGCUAAAGAUGGAAGAACAAAUCUCUAAGUUCCUUGUUUUACAAAUGAGGAAAUAGGUUCCACGUAAUUCAGUAACUUAUAGGGGAGAGGUAGAUUUGUAUUAUCCAAUGCUUUUCCGUCGUUUCCACUUUCAUCAUAUUAUAUUACCAUAAGACUGCACAGACAUACAAAGGUAUAGUUUUGUUUAGGCAGUUACCUGUACAUCUAUUUAUUUUGUGAAUGGGUGAUAUUCUGUUCCCCUUCACUGCCUGCCUCAUGAGAGCACCACAAAAUGUUUGUAAGAAUUGAAGGUCAAAGUGUAUCUGCUGAGAGAAGCUUGUUCAGGAUUCUAAGGAUAAAUCAGAGAAGAAUUAGCUAAAAGUGAUAUGUAAGGAUGCCUGGAAGUGAAUGGAUCACAUUAAAUAAUUGUUUUAUACCCAAGAUGGGGGUAGGAGUUUGGCACAGUUGUUAAGAUGCUGCUUGGGAUGUUUGUAUCCUGUAUUGGCAUGCCUGGAAUCAAGUCCUGGUUCUACUUCCAAUUCUAGCUUCCUGCUAAUGUAGUGAAUGAUGGCUUAAGGGUCCCUUCCACUCAUAUGGGACACCUGGAUUGAGUUCGUGGCUCCUGUUUUCAGCCUAUCUAUUGCGGGCAUUUGGGGAGUGGAAUAGAGGAUGGAAGAUUCAGUCUCUCUCUUUUUCCAUUUCAAAUAAAAUGAAAGUUUUAAAAACUGGAUGUAAGGAGAAUAAAGAAAAUUCUGUAAUAAAAUUGAAUGAAUUAAAAUUCCUUAUGAUGGUGAAGGAAAAGAAACUAUCAAGUUGUCCUAUGUUGGGAGCUGCAUAAAUAAAUACCACUUUAUCCCAAAAAUAGAAUUUUGAUAGCCUAUUAAAAUGAGUUUUAACAAUGAGUGUUAAAUAGAUUUUUUUUAACAUGGUGGUAAUUCGAACACAAGAAAGUUUCAGAAUUACAAAUAAACUACUCAGCUGUGUUUGAAGGAGAAAAAUGACAGUAAAUUUGCCAAAAUUAAGUAGAUUGCUUGGGGCUAUGAGACUAUAGGAAAUAUUUCUUUUUUUUUGUGCUGUCUGUUGUCUGAACUUUCCAAAGUACCUGUAAUGAAUAUACUAUAUUUAUCAUCAGAAGCAUAACUAAAGAUGAAAAAUUCAUGGUUUCAAAAAGCAGUAAAUAAGGUAAUUAGUCAAGAACAAAGUGAAAUUUUUCUUCCUGCUCAUUGUAUCUAGAUAAACAGAAUAUUUUCAUUAGAGCCUAAAUGCCUGCCUGACUGGCUGAGUGGCAGUUUUUUUUUUUUCUUUUUUAAGAUUUAUUUAUUUGAGAGGCAGAGGCAAAGAGAGAGAGAGAGAGAGGUCUUCCAUCCAUUGGUUCACUCCCCAAAUGGCUGCAAUGGCUGGAGCUAGGCCUAUCCAAAGCCAGGAGCCAGGAGCAGGGCCCCAAAUCGUGGGCCAUCUUCUACUGCUUUCCUAGGCCAGAGAGAGCUGUAUCAGAGGUGGAUCAGCCAGGACCUGGACUGAAUGCUGGCACUGCAGACAGUGACUUUACCCACUAUCGCAUAGCCCUGACCUCAUGGCAGUUUUUAAAAUGUUCUAUCGUGCAGGGAGAGGGAAGCACAAAUUCUUCAUGCAUGAUGUGUAACAAGUGAGGAUGGAGGGCUAUUUUCUUAAAUGAUUCUUCAAUAGGUUUAGUGCUUACUUUUUCUUUUUUUUUUUUUUUUAAUCAAAUUUGGAACUUUUAACACAUACAGUGGGAAAGCAUUCAGAUCCUUAGCUUGCUCAGAAAAAAACAUGCUGGGUAAAAUAAUCCUUUUCAUAAGAAAAAAAACACUGCUUACUUGCAAAAACUUUCUUUUAAUUCCACAUUUUUAUGACUACUAUUGAGGCAGCUCUUUACAGAAUUAUGCAAACCUCUAUCUGUAAAUUAAUAAAUAUCUGGGAUUGUUAUUUGAU
Molecule: non-coding RNA, 8769 nt
Organism: Oryctolagus cuniculus (rabbit)
Lineage: Eukaryota; Metazoa; Chordata; Mammalia; Lagomorpha; Leporidae
Source: RefSeq, a predicted model, not a curated record